UUAACAGAAACCAAAAAUAGCGGUAUUUUAUUGUUAAUAAAUCCAUUGAAUUGUAAUAAAAUAAUUCCUGUUAAU
Molecule: transfer RNA, 75 nt
Filed under: Pseudomyrmex veneficus
Lineage: Eukaryota; Metazoa; Arthropoda; Insecta; Hymenoptera; Formicidae
Description: tRNA-Asn
Source: RNAcentral